This 552-nucleotide ribosomal RNA is filed under the name uncultured crenarchaeote. Its description in RNAcentral is "bacterial SSU rRNA". It matches the Rfam family "Archaeal small subunit ribosomal RNA", at positions 325 to 879 of the family's 1478-position model. Lineage: Archaea; Thermoproteati; Thermoproteota. The record is from RNAcentral.
AUGGGGUGCACCAGGCGCGAAAACUUUGCAAUGUGCGAAAGCACGACAAGGUUAAUCCGAGUGCAACAUGCUGAAUGUAGCUUUUGGUAAAUGUAAAUAUUUUAUUGAAUAAGGGGAGGGAAAGUCUGGUGUCAGCCGCCGCGGUAAUACCAGCUCCCCGAGUGGUCGGGACGAUUAUUGGGCCUAAAGCAUCCGUAGCCGGUUCUGUAGGUCUUAUGUUAAAAUCAAUUGCUUAACAAUUGAACUGCAUGAGAUACCACAAAACUAGGAGGCGGGAGAGGUGGACGGUAUUCCACGGGUAGGGGUAAAAUCCUCUGAACCGUGGAGGACCACCAGUGGCGAAGGCGGUCCACCAGAACGCGCUCGACGGUGAGGGAUGAAAGCUGGGGUAGCGAACCGGAUUAGAUACCCGGGUAGUCCCAGCUGUAAACGAUGCAAGCUAGGUGAUGCAUUAGCCACGUGUUAAUGCAGUGCCGCAGGGAAGCCGUUAAGUCUGCCGCCUGGGAAGUACGUACGCAAGUAUGAAACUUAAAGGAAUUGGCGGGGGAGCAC